Molecule: ribosomal RNA, 262 nt
Filed under: uncultured archaeon
Lineage: Archaea
Description: partial 16S ribosomal RNA
Rfam family: Archaeal small subunit ribosomal RNA
Source: RNAcentral
AGGGUGUAAACGCUGCAGACUUGGUGUUGGAGGCCCUUUGGGGGCAUUCAGUGCCGGAGAGAAGUUGUUAAGUCUGCUACUUGGGGAGUACGUCCGCAAGGAUGAAACUUAAAGGAAUUGGCGGGGGAGCACCGCAACGGGAGGAGCGUGCGGUUUAAUUGGAUUCAACACCGUAAAACUCACCAGGGAAGACUGUUACAUGAAGGCCGAGAUGAGGACUCUGCUAGAUUUUUCAGAGAGGAGGUGCAUGGCGUCAGUGACU